Molecule: ribosomal RNA, 497 nt
Filed under: uncultured bacterium
Lineage: Bacteria
Description: partial 16S ribosomal RNA
Rfam family: Bacterial small subunit ribosomal RNA
Source: RNAcentral
GAUGAACGCUGGCGGCGUGCCUAAUACAUGCAAGUCGAGCGAACAGACGAGGAGCUUGCUCCUUCGACGUUAGCGGCGGACGGGUAAGUAACACGUAGGUAACCUACCUAUAAGACUGGGAUAACUUCGGGAAACCGGAGCUAAUACCGGAUAAUAUUUCGAACCGCAUGGUUCGAUAGUGAAAGAUGGCUUUGCUAUCACUUAUAGAUGGACCUGCGCCGUAUUAGCUAGUUGGUAAGGUAACGGCUUACCAAGGCAACGAUACGUAGCCGACCUGAGAGGGUGAUCGGCCACACUGGAACUGAGACACGGUCCAGACUCCUACGGGAGGCAGCAGUAGGGAAUCUUCCGAAAUGGGCGAAAGCCUGACGGAGCAACGCCGCGUGAGUGAUGAAGGUCUUCGGAUCGUAAAACUCUGUUAUUAGGGAAGAACAAACGUGUAAGUAACUGUGCACGUCUUGACGGUACCUAAUCAGAAAGCCACGGCUAACUACGUG